RNAcentral lists this ribosomal RNA (501 nucleotides) under Ganoderma lucidum. RNAcentral's name for it is "SSU rRNA". It matches the Rfam family "Bacterial small subunit ribosomal RNA", at positions 409 to 948 of the family's 1533-position model. Lineage: Eukaryota; Fungi; Basidiomycota; Agaricomycetes; Polyporales; Polyporaceae. The record is from RNAcentral.
UCAUUGAAUUUCUUUAAAUUCAUGAUGUCGUAAGGGAAAAUAAUGAUAAUACCUUACUAUGAGUGUCGUCCAAAUCUGGUGCCAGAAGACUCGGUAAGACCAGAGACGCAAACGUUAAUCAUCAUAAACAGGCGUAAAGGGUUUGUAGGCAGCUUUUAUAAAAUUGUCAAAGGUAAUUUAAUUGAAAGCUAGAAUCAAAAAGAGGUUAUAGUGUAUAACGCCUAGAGGAGGGCUGAUAUCCGUAGAUCCUAGGCAGAAUACUCAGGGCGAAGGCCACUCUCCACUAAUGAUUGACGCUGAGAAACGAAGGUUAGGGUAGGAAAUAGGAUUAGAUACCCCGGUACUCCUUUCUGUAAACGAUGAAUGGUAGUCAUUAGUUUAAUUAAAAUAACUAGAGGCGAAGUUAACACAAUAACCAUUCCGCCUUGUGAGUACUACUGCAAAGUAGAAAACAAAAAAAUUAGUCGGUCUCGAAGCAAACGGAGUGAAGCAUGUUAUUUA